GCGCUCGGUUGUGCCGUUAUCGUGCAAUGCUUCAUCCCCGGUGCCGUUCAAUCCCAGGUCGUUUUCCCUUUCAGCUGCAAUGCCGGGAUUUUAAAUAGCAGAGAUGAAAGGCCCCUGCCCCCGCCUCCCUCCUCCCCUGAGUUCAUGUAUUAUGAAUGAAACGGCAGCCUCGCUGCUUCCUGAGGUGCUCCACUUCAGGUUGGAGUGCAGUGGUGCUGUGUCUGGAGUUUGUUCCUGCCGUUGGGUUUGUGGUCUUGCUGACUUCAAGAAUGAAGCCACGGACCUUCACGAGAAAUAUUACGUUGUAUGGAUGUACCACUGUUUGUUUAUCCAUUCUUCAGGUGAAGGACAUGUGGGUUGUGCCCAGCGCGGGCUGAAUAAAGUCCAUCGCCUUGGCUUAGUGCAUGUCACCAAAAAUUCUCCAGGAAUUUCAUAGUUUGGACCUUGGUGGCAUGGCUGGCCCUGGAUUAUCCAUGCAGGGAGGCCUGAUCCUGUGACAGCUGGCUGCAGCAGGGGGCUGCCCAUCUUCUGUGCUUUGUGGUACAUAUCUGUGUCACCAAAGUAGCGGCCUCGGUACAGCAAGCCUUUCAUCUGCUGCUUCUCCGUCCAGCAGUUGUUCCAGAGGUUGGCGAUAUAAUCAUCUUUCACAUUCGGUUUGACUGUUUGGAGGCUGGAGCCUGUGUACUCCUCGGAGAAAAUGCCUGCCACAUAGUAGAUGACACUCAGGUGGUCAGUGACUCGCCUGUGAUGUGGCCCACAAACAGUCUUGGGCUCAGACUGUAGGGUGGACUGGAGACCAUGAGCUGGCUGAGAGCUGACAUGAGGAUGAGGAUGGGUAUCAGCUGCACGAACACCCGCAAGCUGCCGUCACUCCGCUUCUCCCUGCAGCCCUGCCUUUGCUGAUACACACACAGGCACAUUGGAAACGCAGUAGAAAAUGGCUGCCAAUUUAAAACCAGAAGUUAAGAAGAGCAAACUCGAAUGUACAGCAAGAGAGCUUCAGGCUGGACUGGCUUCCAGCAGAAGUGGGACUGGAAAC
RNAcentral lists this long non-coding RNA (1039 nucleotides) under Homo sapiens (human). RNAcentral's name for it is "non-protein coding lnc-ACTR2-3:30". The record is from RNAcentral. Lineage: Eukaryota; Metazoa; Chordata; Mammalia; Primates; Hominidae.